GCUGACGAGUGGCGGACGGGUGAGAAAUGUAUAGGAACUUGCCUAGUAGUGGGGGACAACGUGUGGAAACGCACGCUAAUACCGCAUAAGCUCUACGGAGGAAAACGGGGGAUCUUCGGACCUCGUGCUACUAGAUGGGCCUAUAUUGGAUUAGCUAGUUGGUAAGGUAAAGGCUUACCAAGGCGACGAUCCAUAGCUGGUUUGAGAGAAUGAUCAGCCACACUGGGACUGAGACACGGCCCAGACUCCUACGGGAGGCAGCAGUGGGGAAUAUUGCACAAUGGAGGAAACUCUGAUGCAGCGAUGCCGCGUGAGUGAAGAAGGCCUUUGGGUUGUAAAGCUCUUUCGUCGGGGAAGAAAAUGACUGUACCCGAAUAAGAAGGUCCGGCUAACUUCGUGCCAGCAGCCGCGGUAAUACGAAGGGACCUAGCGUAGUUCGGAAUUACUGGGCUUAAAGAGUUCGUAGGUGGUUGAAAAAGUUGGUGGUGAAAUCCCAGAGCUUAACUCUGGAACUGCCAUCAAAACUUUUCAGCUAGAGUAUGAUAGAGGAAAGCAGAAUUUCUAGUGUAGAGGUGAAAUUCGUAGAUAUUAGAAAGAAUACCAAUUGCGAAGGCAGCUUUCUGGAUCAUUACUGACACUGAGGAACGAAAGCAUGGGUAGCGAAGAGGAUUAGAUACCCUCGUAGUCCAUGCCGUAAACGU
RNAcentral lists this ribosomal RNA (701 nucleotides) under uncultured bacterium. Its description in RNAcentral is "bacterial SSU rRNA". It matches the Rfam family "Bacterial small subunit ribosomal RNA", at positions 87 to 809 of the family's 1533-position model. The record is from RNAcentral.